GACGAACGCUGGCGACGCGCUUAACACAUGCAAGUCGAACGGAAAGGCCUGCUUUCCCUUGUGGAUUGCGGGUACUCGCGUGGCGAACGGGUGAGUAACACGUGAGUGAUCUGCCCCCAACUUGGGUAUAAGCCUGGGAAACUGGGUCUAAUUCCCGAUAGGACUGCAGGGUGGUGCCUGUGGUGGAAAACGAUUUUCUAGUGGUUGGGGAUGAGUUCGCGGCCUAUCAGCUUGUUGGUGGGGUAAUGGCCUACCAAGGCGGCGACGGGUAGCCGGCCUGAGAGGGUGGACGGCCACAUUGGGACUGAGAUACGGCCCAGACUCCUACGGGAGGCAGCAGUGGGGAAUAUGACACAAUGGGCGGAAGCCUGAUGCAGCGACGCCGCGUGGGGGAUGACGGCCUUCGGGUUGUAAACUCCUUUCGACCGCGAGGAAGCCACCUGGUUGGAAGGGUGGUGACGGUAGUGGUAGAAGAAGCACCGGCUAACUACGUG
Molecule: ribosomal RNA, 494 nt
Filed under: uncultured bacterium
Lineage: Bacteria
Description: partial 16S ribosomal RNA
Rfam family: Bacterial small subunit ribosomal RNA
Source: RNAcentral